Molecule: long non-coding RNA, 405 nt
Organism: Lagopus muta (rock ptarmigan)
Lineage: Eukaryota; Metazoa; Chordata; Aves; Galliformes; Phasianidae
Exons: 3
Source: RefSeq, a predicted model, not a curated record
GUGUCCUUUUCAACGCUUUGUUUUUAACAUUGACUGUUUUGCAUUUAGGACCAGCUCAUAUGGCCAAAGGUCUCCUGGCUGCAGUGACCCGUGUUUUUCUGCUUGAUUAUACCAUGAAGAUGCCUUGACAUAACACAGCAAGUUGAAAAGAAUAAGAAAGGCUUCUAUGGGUGCAUCAGAUGGAAAAGGAAAGUCCAGGAGAGCAUAUGCUCCCAACCCUCGAGCUGAUAGUUCAGAAGGUGAGAGCUGGUUCUCAACUGCCUGAGGAACCUGAACGUCCAUAAGUCUAUGGGUCCUGAUGAGAUGCAUUCCAGAACCCUCAGGAAGUCGGCUGCUGUAGUCUCCAAGUCACUCUUGAUGAUAUUUGAGAAGUCAUGGUGGUCGGGUGAAUUCCCUGGUGACUGG